AUUGAACGCUGGCGGCAUGCCUUACACAUGCAAGUCGAACGGCAGCACGGGAGCAAUCCUGGUGGCGAGUGGCGAACGGGUGAGUAAAGUAUCGGAACGUGCCCAGUCGUGGGGGAUAACGUAGCGAAAGUUACGCUAAUACCGCAUACGAUCUAUGGAUGAAAGCGGGGGAUCGCAAGACCUCGCGCGAUUGGAGCGGCCGAUAUCAGAUUAGGUAGUUAGUGGGGUAAAGGCUCACCAAGCCGACGAUCUGUAGCUGGUCUGAGAGGACGACCAGCUACACGGGGACUUAGACACGGCCCAGACUCCUACGGGAGGCAGCAGUGGGGAAUUUUGGACAAUGGGCGAAAGCCUGAUCCAGCCAUGCCGCGUGCAGGAUGAAGGCCUUCGGGUUGUAAACUGCUUUUGUACGGAACGAAAAGGUUUGGCCUAAUAAGCUGAGCUCAUGACGGUACCGUAAGAAUAAGCACCGGCUAACUACGUGCCAGCAGCCGCGGUAA
Molecule: ribosomal RNA, 500 nt
Filed under: uncultured bacterium
Lineage: Bacteria
Description: partial 16S ribosomal RNA
Rfam family: Bacterial small subunit ribosomal RNA
Source: RNAcentral